RNAcentral lists this ribosomal RNA (253 nucleotides) under uncultured bacterium. RNAcentral's name for it is "partial 16S ribosomal RNA". It matches the Rfam family "Bacterial small subunit ribosomal RNA", at positions 524 to 776 of the family's 1533-position model. The record is from RNAcentral.
UACGUAGGGUGCGAGCGUUAAUCGGAAUUACUGGGCGUAAAGCGUGCGCAGGCGGCUUUGCAAGACAGAUGUGAAAUCCCCGGGCUUAACCUGGGAAUGGCGCUUGUGACUGCAGUGCUGGAGUGCGGCAGAGGGGGAUGGAAUUCCGCGUGUAGCAGUGAAAUGCGUAGAUAUGCGGAGGAACACCGAUGGCGAAGGCAAUCCCCUGGGCCUGCACUGACGCUCAUGCACGAAAGCGUGGGGAGCAAACAGG